AGUCGAACGAUGAACCUCACUUGUGGGGGGAUUAGUGGCGAACGGGUGAGUAACACGUGAGUAACCUGCCCUUGACUCUGGGAUAAGCCUGGGAAACCGGGUCUAAUACUGGAUACGACCUUCUGGCGCAUGCCAUGUUGGUGGAAAGCUUUUGUGGUUUUGGAUGGACUCGCGGCCUAUCAGCUUGUUGGUGGGGUAAUGGCCUACCAAGGCGACGACGGGUAGCCGGCCUGAGAGGGUGACCGGCCACACUGGGACUGAGACACGGCCCAGACUCCUACGGGAGGCAGCAGUGGGGAAUAUUGCACAAUGGGCGCAAGCCUGAUGCAGCGACGCCGCGUGAGGGAUGAAGGCCUUCGGGUUGUAAACCUCUUUCAGUAGGGAAGAAGCCGGCCUUUGGGUUGGUGACGGUACCUGCAGAAGAAGCGCCGGCUAACUACGUGCCAGCAGCCGCGGUAAUACGUAGGGCGCAAGCGUUAUCCGGAAUUAUUGGGCGUAAAGAGCUCGUAGGCGGUUUGUCGCGUCUGCCGUGAAAGUCCGGGGCUUAACCCCGGAUCUGCGGUGGGUACGGGCAGACUAGAGUGCAGUAGGGGAGACUGGAAUUCCUGGUGUAGCGGUGAAAUGCGCAGAUAUCAGGAGGAACACCGAUGGCGAAGGCAGGUCUCUGGGCUGU
This 673-nucleotide ribosomal RNA is filed under the name Arthrobacter sp. RNAcentral describes it as "bacterial SSU rRNA". It matches the Rfam family "Bacterial small subunit ribosomal RNA", at positions 60 to 737 of the family's 1533-position model. The record is from RNAcentral. Lineage: Bacteria; Bacillati; Actinomycetota; Actinomycetes; Micrococcales; Micrococcaceae.